RNAcentral lists this ribosomal RNA (254 nucleotides) under uncultured bacterium. RNAcentral describes it as "partial 16S ribosomal RNA". It matches the Rfam family "Bacterial small subunit ribosomal RNA", at positions 524 to 776 of the family's 1533-position model. The record is from RNAcentral.
UACGGGGGGAGCAAGCGUUGUUCGGAUUUACUGGGCGUAAAGGGCGCGUAGGCGGCCUCUGCAAGUCGACUGUGAAAUCUCCGGGCUAACCCGGAAAGGUCAGCCGAUACUGCAGGGCUAGAGUGCAGAAGGGGCAACUGGAAUUCUCGGUGUAGCGGUGAAAUGCGUAGAUAUCGAGAGGAACACCUGCGGCGAAGGCGGGUUGCUGGGCUGACACUGACGCUGACAGCGCGAAAGCUAGGGGAGCGAACGGG